CAGUCGUACCUUCGGACAAUCAGCUUUUUGAGUGUGAUUAUGUGGUUUAUGAGGAGUUUAACCGCCUUCAUGUAUUGCAUAUUUGUGCUCUUGGGUGUACUUGUCUGUGUGGUAGGUUAACAUCAAUCUUGGUCGUCAUAAAAUGACUGGAGGAAUGUAGCUUUGGUCUCGUAUCGAAGUGUUAUACG
Molecule: ribosomal RNA, 188 nt
Filed under: Glomus sp. (unid)
Lineage: Eukaryota; Fungi; Glomeromycota; Glomeromycetes; Glomerales; Glomeraceae
Source: RNAcentral